Molecule: ribosomal RNA, 299 nt
Filed under: Escherichia coli
Lineage: Bacteria; Pseudomonadati; Pseudomonadota; Gammaproteobacteria; Enterobacterales; Enterobacteriaceae
Also listed under: 1 other name
Description: partial 16S ribosomal RNA
Rfam family: Bacterial small subunit ribosomal RNA
Source: RNAcentral
AAAUUGAAGAGUUUGAUCAUGGCUCAGAUUGAACGCUGGCGGCAGGCCUAACACAUGCAAGUCGAACGGUAACAGGAAGCAGCUUGCUGCUUCGCUGACGAGUGGCGGACGGGUGAGUAAUGUCUGGGAAACUGCCUGAUGGAGGGGGAUAACUACUGGAAACGGUAGCUAAUACCGCAUAAUGUCGCAAGACCAAAGAGGGGGACCUUCGGGCCUCUUGCCAUCGGAUGUGCCCAGAUGGGAUUAGCUUGUUGGUGGGGUAACGGCUCACCAAGGCGACGAUCCCUAGCUGGUCUGAG